UAGUACGAGGCUGAUGUAGCUGACGCCUGUUCGUCCUUGGAUCCUGACUUUGAUUCUGGCUCAGGACGAACGCUGGCGGCCGUGCUUAACACAUGCAAGUCGAACGAGAAUCUACUGAAAGAGUUUUCGGACAAUGGAAGUAGAGGAAAGUGGCGGACGGGUGAGUAACGCGUGAGGAACCUGCCUUGAAGAGGGGGACAACAGUUGGAAACGACUGCUAAUACCGCAUGAAGCAUAGGGGUCGCAUGAUCUUUAUGCCAAAGAUUUAUCGCUUCAAGAUGGCCUCGCGUCUGAUUAGCUAGUUGGCGGGGUAACGGCCCACCAAGGCGACGAUCAGUAGCCGGACUGAGAGGUUGAACGGCCACAUUGGGACUGAGAUACGGCCCAGACUCCUACGGGAGGCAGCAGUGGGGAAUAUUGGGCAAUGGGCGCAAGCCUGACCCAGCAACGCCGCGUGAAGGAAGAAGGCUUUCGGGUUGUAAACUUCUUUUAAGAGGGAAGAGCAGAAGACGGUACCUCUAGAAUAAGCCACGGCUAACUACGUGCCAGCAGCCGCGGUAAUACGUAGGUGGCAAGCGUUGUCCGGAUUUACUGGGUGUAAAGGGCGUGCAGCCGGGUCUGCAAGUCAGAUGUGAAAUCCAUGGGCUCAACCCAUGAACUGCAUUUGAAACUGUAGAUCUUGAGUGUCGGAGGGGCAAUCGGAAUUCCUAGUGUAGCGGUGAAAUGCGUAGAUAUUAGGAGGAACACCAGUGGCGAAGGCGGAUUGCUGGACGAUAACUGACGGUGAGGCGCGAAAGUGUGGGGGAGCAAACAGGAUUAGAUACCCUGGUAGUCCACACUGUAAACGAUGAAUACUAGGUGUGCGGGGACUGACCCCCUGCGUGCCGCAGUAAACACAA
Molecule: ribosomal RNA, 899 nt
Filed under: uncultured bacterium
Lineage: Bacteria
Description: bacterial SSU rRNA
Rfam family: Bacterial small subunit ribosomal RNA
Source: RNAcentral